RNAcentral lists this ribosomal RNA (488 nucleotides) under uncultured bacterium. RNAcentral describes it as "partial 16S ribosomal RNA". It matches the Rfam family "Bacterial small subunit ribosomal RNA", at positions 28 to 507 of the family's 1533-position model. The record is from RNAcentral.
GACGAACGCUGGCGGCGUGCCUAACACAUGCAAGUCGAACGGAAAGGCCCUGCUCUUGUGCCGUGCUCGAGUGGCGAACGGGUGAGUAUCACGUGUGUAUCCUGCCCUUGUCUUUGGGAUAACUUCACGAAACUGCGGCUAAUAUCGGAUAGGAGCUCCUGCUCCGUGGUGGGCGUUGGAAAGUUUCGGCUUUUGGGGAUGGACUCGCGGCUUAUCAGCUUGUUGGUAGGGUAGUGGCUUACCAAGGCUUUGACGGGUAGCCGGCCUGAGAGGGUGGUCGGCCACACGGGAACUGAGACACGGUCAAGAGGCCUAAGGGAGGCAGCAGUAGGGAAUGGUAGGCAAUGGGGGAAAGCAUGACGGAGCAACGCCGCGUGAGUGACGAAGGUCCUGGGAUCGUAAAGAUGUGUUACUGGGUGAGAACAGCUGUGGACGGAGACGUAGCCGUAUUGACGGUACCUAGUAAAAAAGCACCGGCUAACUACGUG